CAGUGAAAUUGAACUCGCUGUGAAGAUGCAGUGUACCCGCGGCAAGACGGAAAGACCCCGUGAACCUUUACUAUAGCUUGACACUGAACAUUGAGCCUUGAUGUGUAGGAUAGGUGGGAGGCUUUGAAGUGUGGACGCCAGUCUGCAUGGAGCCGACCUUGAAAUACCACCCUUUAAUGUUUGAUGUUCUAACGUUGACCCGUAAUCCGGGUUGCGGACAGUGUCUGGUGGGUAGUUUGACUGGGGCGGUCUCCUCCUAAAGAGUAACGGAGGAGCACGAAGGUUGGCUAAUCCUGGUCGGACAUCAGGAGGUUAGUGCAAUGGCAUAAGCCAGCUUGACUGCGAGCGUGACGGCGCGAGCAGGUGCGAAAGCAGGUCAUAGUGAUCCGGUGGUUCUGAAUGGAAGGGCCAUCGCUCAACGGAUAAAAGGUACUCCGGGGAUAACAGGCUGAUACCGCCCAAGAGUUCAUAUCGACGGCGGUGUUUGGCACCUCGAUGUCGGCUCAUCACAUCCUGGGGCUGAAGUAGGUCCCAAGGGUAUGGCUGUUCGCCAUUUAAAGUGGUACGCGAGCUGGGUUUAGAACGUCGUGAGACAGUUCGGUCCCUAUCUGCCGUGGGCGCUGGAGAACUGAGGGGGGCUGCUCCUAGUACGAGAGGACCGGAGUGGACGCAUCACUGGUGUUCGGGUUGUCAUGCCAAUGGCACUGCCCGGUAGCUAAAUGCGGAAGAGAUAAGUGCUGAAAGCAUCUAAGCACGAAACUUGCCCCGAGAUGAGUUCUCCCUGACUCCUUGAGAGUCCUGAAGGAACGUUGAAGACGACGACGUUGAUAGGCCGGGUGUGUAAGCGCAGCGAUGCGUUGAGCUAACCGGUACUAAUGAACCGUGAGGCUUAACCUU
This 897-nucleotide ribosomal RNA is filed under the name Escherichia coli. RNAcentral describes it as "partial 23S ribosomal RNA". It matches the Rfam family "Bacterial large subunit ribosomal RNA", at positions 2034 to 2925 of the family's 2925-position model. RNAcentral also lists the same sequence under 4 other names. The record is from RNAcentral. Lineage: Bacteria; Pseudomonadati; Pseudomonadota; Gammaproteobacteria; Enterobacterales; Enterobacteriaceae.